UACGUAGGUGGCAAGCGUUGUCCGGAAUUAUUGGGCGUAAAGAGCUCGUAGGCGGUCUGUCGCGUCGGCUGUGAAAACUCGGGGCUCAACCCCGAUCCUGGAGUCGAUACGGGCAGACUAGAGUGCUGUAGGGGAGACUGGAAUUCCUGGUGUAGCGGUGAAAUGCGCAGAUAUCAGGAGGAACACCGGUGGCGAAGGCAGGUCUCUGGGCAGUAACUGACGCUGAGGAGCGAAAGCGUGGGUAGCGAACAGG
This 253-nucleotide ribosomal RNA is filed under the name uncultured bacterium. RNAcentral's name for it is "partial 16S ribosomal RNA". It matches the Rfam family "Bacterial small subunit ribosomal RNA", at positions 524 to 776 of the family's 1533-position model. The record is from RNAcentral.